AUCAGGCGCGGGUGGUCAUUCCGCCCCGCCGGGCCGGCGCUUCCGCACGGGGCGAAUCCGGUCGGGCGUCCGUCGAUAACCGGGCGCCGCG
RNAcentral lists this non-coding RNA (91 nucleotides) under unclassified sequences. RNAcentral's name for it is "Li+-II sequence". It matches the Rfam family "nhaA-II RNA". The record is from RNAcentral.